UGAAGGAACUUUAAACGGCCUAGGUAAAUGGGUUAACAGCAAAGGAAAUAUUACAAAAUAUAUUUCGCUGAAGGCAAACAGGAUCAUUAGAAAGGGCAAACAACCAGCCACCGAGAAAUGAAACUGUCAAAAAACCCAACAUACUCAAUCCAGAGGAGCCAACUUUCAGAUCAGUUUUCUGUUGACUUAAAGGUGCUACUGCAAAAACCUAGACCAGCACCCAAUACCCACUUUGCUGCCAGACUUUUGAAGUCUGGGAAUUGGCAGCUGAAGGAAACGUAAGCCUCUUCUCCUGGUUUAACACCAGAGGGAAAACAUGAGGGAGAUAAGGAGGCUGUCUAUUAAUUAACCAGCCCUGUUUUACCACGCUGAACUUUGGGUAGCAGCCAUUAAUCAGUCCUACAUAGCGCCGGGCAAGGAACUGCAAUCACCCUGGAAAAUACAUCUGAAACGAGAAGGAAAGAUAGAGAGGGCAAACCAGGGCUGUGCAGAGGGGAUUCUGGAAAGGAAACCAGAGCCCUUCUGCCCCACCCUAAACAAGAUGAAGGACGAGAAGGUAGGCGAUCCCCAGAGACCUCUGGCUACAACCGCUGUCAGCACAGCUGGUAUCUUCCAGGGGAACAGGUACAAGAAGGUGCGUGUCCACAACACGAAGUGACUUGUGCAGCUCUCAGCGGAGGACUGGCAUUAAUGCAUUGCUAGCAAAAGGUGGGGGAGAAAGGAAGCAUCUCCUGCGCUCCCAGGCAGGCUCUGAUUACCAUCAUGUUUUCUGAGCCCUUGGGGACUGGGUGGAACCGAAAGCUAUCCAAGUGGGAAUACGGUGACAAGGAACUCCACUCACUGGGCUGGAAGCCCCACUGGCUUCACGCCACACCCAACUACCACGCUCUGGGCAGCCUGUGCAUUUUUAAAACAUUUUAAGGCUUUUAGAGGUUGUUCUUGCUGACCAAAAGAAUUCCAUGACGUCUUUCAAGUUCAAAUCCAGUCCUUUGCAGGCUUUCUAAAAAAACUGUUUACUGCCAUCAAAUCACUUUGUGGUUAUUAAAGAAGGGGGCAAAUGGAGCACGUGACAUUGCCACCCUCCUAAGAUGUCUCACUAGGAAAAAUAUUUGGAUGAAGUGGUUGUAACAGAUGCCACCUAAGAGGUCGGAAAACAGUAGAAGGAAUGUGGAAGCUCUUGACUUUUAAUCUAAUCAGCAAGGGUUUGUUAUUUCUCACCAGAGUAUGGGAGGCACACACUAUCAGCUUCUGAUGAAUCUGGUAUACAUUAGGCAGGUUUUGUUUUGUGUCUUCAGUCAAGCACGUACUUUCCAGGAAGGGGGAUGGAGGAGUGGUCCCCCUUGUCUGAUUAGGCCACGAUGCCGCCCCUAUCACAUCCUCCAAAGACCCUGUCUUAUGGCGUGAGGUGUGCUAACAGACAUGGCUCUUAUAAUUCUUCUUUACCUGCUUAUUAUGGGCAGGGUUGCUUGUCCCAGUGACUGUAUGUGAAGGGUCUGGGGCCAGGCUGUCCCCCAGGAAACAAACAGUGAACUCUCUGUCUCUCUGCUGCUUGGCUAAGCAAGUCAUGCCAUGUUCGACAUGUUAUCCCAUAUCUGCUAUGGGCUAGGUGCUAUGUGGCUCACGCCUGUAAUCCUAGCACUUUGGGAUGUGGAAGCAGGAGGAUCCCCUGAGCCCAGGAGUUUGAGACCAGCUUGGGCAACAUAGGGAGGCCCAGCCUAUACAAAAAGUAAAAACUUAGCUGGGCAUGCUGGUGCAUGCCUGUGUUCCCAGCUACUUGGGAGGCUGAGGUGGGAGGAUCACUUGAGCCUGAGAGGUUGAGAGGCUACAGUGAGCCAAGAUCACACCAUUGCGCUCCAGCCUGGGUGACAGAGUGAGACCCUGGCUCCAAAAAAAAGCAACAAAGGGUAAAACCACAAGAAACCAUGUCCAUUACGCUAGAGAGAGGUGGCUUCUGUUGACCCUGUUACAAUGAGAGUCGGUCGGUUCAAUGCGAGAAGAAGUCUAGUUUACCUCUCCCUUCUCUUCCUUCCUGCCAGGUUCACAGCAAUUUCCUUUCACUUUCAAAAUGCUCCAGGGCACUGUCUGUAGCAUGCAUGCAUGGAUUCGUCAUUACAAGAGCAGUAAUUCACUGUCAGGAGUUUGAAAGCCAGCCCAAUCCUGCGGUGAAUCAGGAUGAGUUAAAUGCUCUUUAGCAAGCGCCAAGCUCACCCAAGAGAGGUGGAGUUCAAUCUCCAAAGGCCCCAGAGUACCUGCUAAUGAACCAGACAAGCCAAUUUCCUAAACAAUAUCCUGGUGCCAUCUAGGACCCAGUGGCUUUAUCUCAGUGGAAGGCACAUUCUCCAGAGAAGGGCUCUUUCAGGCUAACUCACCAUAAAGUUUGGUUCAGUAUGAGUGUGUGCAACCACUAACACCCCCACGCUUUGGUUUGAUUACAUCACCAGAUCCUUCUCUGCCUUCUCUACCUUGGGACAUUACAGCCAUUACUACGUUCCUCUUCCCAGCAGUGUAUAAAGUGUCCCACUCUUCAUUUUCCCUCUUCCUUUCAUUGACUAGGCCUAAAAGCAAAGUGGAAGCAAUGUAUUCUUUCUGAGUCAGUGUUAAGAAUGGACGUGCUAGGAAAUAUUCAGGAUUACCUCAACAGGAAGUAAUUUUUAUGCUCUGGCAAGGCCAAUAGUAUUGUGACACAUAUUCAUUCCUAUUUUCCCUUUCAUAUUCAUUUCUUCAUUGGCUUUAAAAAAAUUACAUUUGCUCAAAGAAAAUCUGAACUGUGCCUAUAGAUAUGAAGAUGAUAUUAGGAAGGGAAGGGAUUAUUACGUUGAAAAAAUUUCAAAUUCAUCUUGUUUGCAUUGGUAAAAUUGGGAAGAUUGCCAUUUGUAAGGUUUUAGUUAGCCUAUUGUUUCAUUUGAUUGUAAACGGAAUGUCUCCCAGACAUGAGACAGACAGACAGACAGACUGCUGCCAAAAUUAUUUAAUUCCCAGGAAAGAGAUGGUCCAGUCAGCGGUUAGCUUAUGGCUAUAUUUAAGAUGAGCGUUAUUUCUAUAAAUCUUUUGACAGAGGAACUCUACUGAGCCCUCCAGUGGCCAGACCUGGCUGACCAGUCCUGGGUCCAACAGUGAUUAAAGAUCUCAAUCUGGAGCAGAAUAGAGAAGUAAUGUUAAAUAAAUCAUUUCGCUUCCAAGCCACAAUCAAUAAUUGUGCAGUGCUGUAGGAUGGAUAAAAGAAAAAUGUCCUUCUCACUGACACUCAAUCUUCUGCUGGGCUACUCCCAUGUUCCCCAGGCCAAGGACAACCUCCUUUUGUACCAAAAAUAGUUACAGUUUGUAAAAUGAUAUCUUUUUUAUGCCACUUGCAACAGAUGGUACAAAUAAUUCCUUCUCUUAUCUCCAUCUCUGCACAUCCACCCAUUUCCUGGACGAACCUUGUUCUUUUAUGCACAGCUCCCUUUUAAUGUUUUCUAGAUUGGAUGCUAGUAAGUUAUCUGCGGCACCCAACUACAACUUUUUAGCGCCUUAGACUUUAUUUUUCUCUUUAUGACAGUUCUUGAAACUACUAUGUAACUUGUCAACCACAUGUUGCCAUAUAGGAUAUACUGCUUUAUUUGCUUGUGACACUUCAUAUUCUAACAAGAGAUUUUAAAUCCCCGUGCUCACCAUACCCCACCCACAAACACUCCAAUAAUCACAUAGCAGUUUGCAGUUUACAAAGGGCUCUCAAUUGUGACAUUUCAUGGGCUCCAGAACUCAGUGAAAGACAUAGAACAGGUGUCUUAUGUCUUUUUGAAUAGUUGGGAAACAGAAGUGCAGGGAGUUAAGAACCUCACCCAGCUUCCCAUAGCUGCUAAGCAGUGAGGCAGCAAGAACCCCAGCUUCCUCGGUUGUUUGCGUGUGACCUGCUGUGCACUUCAGGACACUGCAAGCUAUUCUGCAAAGAACGAUGUUCCUCAUGCCUGCCCACGCGUGAUCACUGAUGGAUUCCUUAUUCGAUUUCUGGCCAUGGUGUGAAACAUGAACAAGUCUGUUGAGAAGUACCUCACUCCAUUCACAGGUCCAGAUUUUCACAGCAAAGGAAAAGAAUCACUGGGGCAUCUCACUGGGCUUCGGCUCGAAUGAUUUAGAGCCUCUCUUGACUUACAAUUAGGUUUUAUCUACUUGCCUCAAAAUGAGCUCUGACACCGACAGAAGCCUCCUCUUCAGAGACACAAUCUGCUUCCCUGUGUCCCAACAACAAACUGCCAGAAAAGCAACGUUAGAGCAACACUUCUCCCAGAGAGGACAGAAGAUAAGUGACAAUAAAUAAAGGGGAUUUCUUAAAAUUAAGGCAGCAAGACACUGGUGCCAUUUCGAUGACGUUUCCUCCAACACACUGAAGUACACAAAUUAGUUUCCAAUUUUUUUUUUUAAUUAAAAAGGGUUUAAUUGGCCGGGCACAGUGGCUCACACCUGUAAUCCCAGCACUUCGGGAGGCCCAGGCAGGUGGAUCAUUUGAGGUUAGGAAUUCGAGAGCAGCCUGGCCAACGUGGUGAAACCUGACUCUACUAAAAACACAAAAAUUAGCCGGGUUUGGUGGCAGGUGCCUGUAAUCCCAGCUACUCGGGAGGCUGAGGCAGGAGAAUCACUUGAACCUGGGAGGCGGAGGUUGCAGUGAGCUGAGAUCACACCAUUGCACUCCAGCCUGGGGGACAGAGCGAGACUCUGUCUCAAAAAAAAAAAAAAAGGUUUAAUCCUCCUCAUCAAUCAGUACUCCUCCACACCAUCAUCUCAAGGAAGGCAGUGGGGUGUGGUGGAUCGAGCACUGGAUUAUGACUCAAAGGGCUUGGUUUUUCCCUGCUGGGAAUCUCUUCUUGGCUGUGGUCUCAUAACUGUGACUGUAGUCCUGACACUGAACUCUGAGCCCCUGAUUCAGCUGCUUACUUGCUUCAGUAAAACCUUCUUGCACUUUCUCUUCUGGUGCUGUGAAUACCUAAUGAGUUCCAUCAUUGUUGUGUCACUGAGCACGCAUGAUUAUUAAUAUCAUCAGCAAACAUUCACGGGCCCACUCAGUGAGCUGUGAGGCAGAAGAAAAUGAAUAAAACGGAAAAUACUCACUUGAAUGUAUUCACAGAAGGAUGAAACGAAUGACACAUUCGUUUUGGAGAUACAAGAACUGGCAAAAAAUGAGGACUCUGGAUGCAGCCAAUGUAAGAACAUCAUACUGUAUUAUAUUUCAAAGAUAUCAUAUUUGAGAAAAUGGUCCAGGCUGGACAUGGUGGCUCACGCCUGUAGUCCCAGCACUUUGGGAGGCCGAGGCUGGUGGAUCACUUGAGCUCGGGAGUUUGCAACAAGCCUGGGCAACAUGGUGAAACCCUACCUCUACAAAAAAUAGAAAAAUUAGCCUGGUGGGGUGGCAUACGCCUUUAGUCCCAGCAACUUGGGGGACUAAGGUGGGAGGAUCUCUUGAGCCCGGGAGGCGGAGGUUGCAGUGAACCACUGCACCACUGCACUCCAGCCUGGGCAACAGAGGGAGACUCGUGUCUCAGAAAAAAACAAAAAGUACUUUUCCUCAUUCCUAUUCCCAAAUUAAUUGAUCAUUCUGAACCCAGAUCAGGCUAUAUGUAAAAGACUCCCAAUUCAUUUCGUAGUGUUACAACAACAAAUAGACUCAAAUUGCAAUUAUCUAUAAUCACUGUGAGAUGGGUGAUUACCCACAUCUUGGCAUUGGAUCAUUCUCUUUUCCUUCCCAUCUUACCACCUGGGAGAACAUCUCUUUUGUGAAUGAAAAGAGCACCCGUGUCAUUACUUGUCUGUGGCCAGAAUGCAAGCUUUGGCUGCUGAAGAGGAAGCCGAACUAAUUAGCUCAAGAUAUGUGUUUAGAGGCUCUCAGAAUUUCAACUACAUUAUCCAUUCUAGUCCUGUCCUACAUUUAUAUCAAAAACAGGGAACUGGGUGCUUUAGCAUGGUUCUUGAUAGAAAAACAUUUAUCUUGUAAUAAUGCGCAAAAUUAAUUUUUGGCAGAGCAAAGAUUGGGAAUUUAAUGCAAAUGUAGAGAUGUUUUGUUAUUGCACAUAUCUGCCAAGACAGCUUUGCACAUAUACUCACUGUAUCUAUAUUUAAAAUAUAAAAUUAUAUUUGGGUAGUUUUUAUAUUAAGAUACUCUAUGUAUAUGAGUACAUAUCUGUCGAUAAAAAUUCUGUGCCAAAAUUAAAAAUAUCAAAAUUCCACAUCUGACUCAUUUUUUGUGCUCUAGUCUCAAAGUGAUACUGAAUAGAAACUUAUUAGCAUUUCAGUAAAUUUCUUCAGAUCAUUGUUACGAAUAAUAAAAAUACAGAAACAUUUUAAAACAACAUAUUUCAGUCUUAAAAUGGUCAGAUUAACAUAAUUAUAGCCCGAGGUUGCCAACAGUGCCACAUUUCUCAUUUUCAUGAAAAUGCAGAGGUUCUCUCAGAUUGCAAGCUAAUAGGCUCCUUGGUCUAAAUAUAUACAGUAAAAUCUGCAACAAAUUUCUGAAGCAUUAAGAUCUGAACCCUGCAGAUAUCUGGUGAGCGAGUUGUGUUGCAGUGGAGCAGAUUUUUUUUUUUUUCCUUGCAGUUACACAGCUGCUAGAAAACAUAUUUUUAGAUUUGCUUUUAAAGGCAAGCAAAAACGGUUUCCACUUUGUGGAUUUCCAUCCAUGAUGUAUCCGUCAUGAUCCCUCAGUCCCUACUGCAAGGGGUCAACCAUCUACAACAUGUUCUAUUCCGUGCCCUCCUUCCUUGUAAGUGACUGCAAGGACUGGCACUAGAUGCUCAUUCUAGACGAAGCUAUCAGACCCUGACCACCAGUCCUAUGCUUUAGAGGUGCUGCAUUUCAUGAAAAUCAUGCAUGGAAGUUUAAGCACCCUACAGAUCAGGCCCCUGCUAUUUCUGAAUUGCCCCAUCAUUGGCAUUGGUAUGAUUCCUUAUUGUUGUUUGUGUUUUUCUUUGGUAACUCUUCCUACUCUAUCAAGGGUGCGUGAAAAGGAACAGUUUCAAAGAGUGAAAUCAGAACAAGGCAAAGCACGACCUUUGAUGUCACAAGAAAAGAAGAAAAGGAAAGAAAUCAAAUACAUGUGUCGAUCAACUGAGUCAAACAUAUUUUCUGUUUCAGGAAUAUGGAGUGAGUUAGUGCUGCCUGCACAAUGGAAAGAGGUCCUCUAGCUUAAAUGAAAAGCUAGGUAGUCACACCUUUUAUCUGGAGAGACCUUAAAUAAAUAAAUCUGCUCAAAAAACUA
Molecule: long non-coding RNA, 7225 nt
Organism: Homo sapiens (human)
Lineage: Eukaryota; Metazoa; Chordata; Mammalia; Primates; Hominidae
Exons: 3
Source: RefSeq, a predicted model, not a curated record